Symphalangus syndactylus (siamang) is the source of this 4050-nucleotide RNA transcript. It is a transcript of the gene named WD repeat domain 93, with no coding region annotated. Lineage: Eukaryota; Metazoa; Chordata; Mammalia; Primates; Hylobatidae. The record is from RefSeq and is a predicted model, not a curated record.
ACUUUCUGUAGAGCAACUCCGCGAACUUCCGGUUUAAGCCGGAAGUUGUGGUUACCAAGGCGACGCAACGCCGCCGGGACAGCUUUUCAGAGUUUCACAGAGGUUCCCAGUGCCACCUUCUGUGAUGUCAUUCCCCAGAGGAAGUCAGACCCAGAAGAUAAAGCACCCCAUUGGUACACGAAAGGGACCAUUGGAGGUGCCACCCCCAACAGAGAAGGACUGGCCUAAAGACGAUGAAGAGGAUCAUGUCCUCGUGGAUCCAGGUGACGAGGUGGAUUCCUUGCCUCAGCCUUAUCGAAUGAUCAACAAGCUGGUGAACCUUCUGUUUGACCAGUCUUGGGAAAUUAUUGAAGAGAGGAAAGCACUGAGGGAAGCUGAGAGCAGCCAGAUCCAGCCCACCAUCUACCCUCCACUUGGAGAAAUCCAGCUCAACAAAAUGCCAAAUUGUAUGGCUGUUUCCCAAGACUAUGUGUUUAUUGGAGGAGCCAAAGGAUUCUCAAUUUAUAAUCUGUACAGUGCUAAACAAAUAUAUGCGUGGGAAAAGCUUAAGGUUGAUGUCACUUCCAUCUGGGCCACAGAUUUGGGGAAUGAAAUACUUAUUGCUCCUGUGGAUGAAAUGGGUAUUGUUCUUCAUCUUCCUUUUUAGCCUCAUUUACAGGUACCUGUAGACUGUUGUCAAUUUAAUCUCCUUUCGAGGUAUUGGUGGGGCCAGGCAUGGAGACUUCUCCCUGGUCAUGUAAUAGUACCUAUAUGUACAGAACAGGUAUGGUGGGUCAGAUACUGUUCUACCAUUUCACAUGUGCUAGCCCAUUUAAUCCUCAUGGCAGCCUUAGGGGGGAAGUAAAAUUUUGUAUUCCUGUUCAGAAGAGGCAACUGACUUAUGGAAGUUAAAUAACUUACUUGAGGUAACAUGGAAAGUCAGGCUGCAAACCAGGCAAUAUGGCCCUGGAGUCCACACCCUUCCAGCACUCAGCAGUCCUCUCAUACAAACCAGAGCUUGCCCUUUUUCCCCCAGCCUGAGGAUGAACCAGGCCUCCAUGAGGAAUAUGGUCUCAAAAACUGUAGACAGUGUCCUAGAUAGGUGAGCUGUUACUCUUGGUUGCCCCUCAAAAGCUAGGCUCCCUCUAGCCUGUCCUUAUGUUUGGGUGAAACAGACUGUUACCUCUGGAUAUGAGGAGCUUUCCUACUUUGUGGAGGAUGAGAAGGCAAAUGUCAGCAUUGGCUGGAAGUGAGUGAGGUGGCUGUGUCAUAUUGUGGCAGGCAGAGCGGAAAGUGCCUGCUCACUUGGAGAUCAUCUGUGAAGGCAUGCAUCUCUCUAGACAUCAGGCUCUGCUCAACCAGCACAGGCACACUGAAGAACUUUCUGCAGGAGAGUGACCUGACCAGACUGGCAUUUAAGAAGGGCACUCUAGCAGGAGUUUGAAAAAGGCAAAAUGAGAGGCAGAAAAACUAUGCAGUCAUUAAGGAGAGAAAAUUCUGAACAUCUGAACCAAGAUAGGGGCUGCUAAAAUGAAAAGAAAGGCCAGACGUGGUGGCUCAUGCCUGUAAUCCCAGCACUUUGGGAAGCCUAGGCAGGUGGAUCACUUGAGGUCAGGAGUUUGACACCAGCCUGGCCAACAUGGUGAAACCCCGUCUCUACUAAAAAUACAAAAACAAAAAACAAAAACUAGCCGGGCAUGGUGGUGGGCACCUGUAAUCCCAGCUACUUGGGAGGCUGAGGAAGGAGAAUUGCUUGAACCCAGGAGGCGGAGAUUACAGUGAGCUGAGAUGGCAUCAUUGCACUCCAGCCUGGGUGACAGAAUGAGACUCCAUCUCAAAAAAAAAAAAAAAAAAAGUGUACUAUGGUUAUGUAAGAUGUUAACGUUAGGGGAAGCAAGACAAGGGAUACAAAGAAACUCUGUACUAUUUUUGUAACUUUUUUAUAAGUCUAAAAUUAGUUCAAAAUAAAAAGCUUAAAAAAAUGAAAGGAAUGUUUAAUGGAAAAACUUAGGGAAUGAUGGAAUAUGCAUAUGGGUCAAGUAGUGGGAAAGUGUGCUGGGGGGCAAUGAACGAGAAUGCCUCCCCCUUUGUGCCUUAGAUAACUAGGUGGAUGAUGAUGUCAUUUCUUGAUAACAGUUAUGGGAAAAUAAGAUUUCAGGGUUCUGUGAGUUGAAGAAUUCCAUUUGAACAUGCGCAGACUUGAGGCAUCUAGGGGAUAUCUCUGUGGGAAUGUUGAUGCUCAGAAGGAGUUUGGUGUAAAGAUAGGAUCAUAUGUGUCACGCUACAUUAUACUAGUUGGUUUCAAGUCUGUGUAACCCUCAGUAUGAUGAAUCUGAAGGUAGACUGUCUUGGUGUCCCUAGCACAUUUGUUGGCAUGAAUCAGAUAUCCCAUGAAUCUGUAUUGGGUUGAGUUAGACAUUUACCCACAGUGGGGCAGAUGCCUUUACAAGGUUAUAUUAUGGUAUAGAGAGGCAAGUCAUAAGUCUGUGGGAGGCACCUCAAGAAAGAGGUAAGAAGUCAUGGUGGGUGAUGGUUGUAUACUGGAGCCAUUAGGUUAAAUGAGAAUUAGAUUAACGUAUUUACUUAUUAAUUCAACAAAAUUAACUGCACGAGGAGCUUGUUGGGAUUGAGAGGCAAGACACAUGGAAGAGUGAGCUAUGAUCUUUCCCUCAAAGAAUCUAUGAAUUCUCAAGAGGAAUACAAUACAUUUGCAGCAAACAGUUGGAUAAUGGUGUGAAGCAGUAAGGGAUGGUGUGCUCAAUCAGGCAGAUAGGAAUCAACCAGCGGAUGGAUGUAGCCCAUGUCUUACGAAGACGUCUGGGAGAUGCCGGUGGAGCCAGGGUACGUAGAGAGGACCCAGGAAGGAAAACAACCUGAACAUUCAAGUGAGGGGUGGAGGAAGUCAGGGAGACCAAGAGCAGCAUAGGCAGUGGAGGGGCUGGGAAGGAGGCCUCAGAAUGAGCGAGCUCAUGAUGGUAAGUUCACAAAGUCCAAUAUAAAACUUCUAAUUUCUCUUCAGCUCGAUUGUCUGUCUUACAUUCUCACUUAUUUUUCUGUUUCAGGUAUCAUUAGACUCUUUUAUUUUUAUAAGGAAGGUCUUUACCUAGUCAAAGCCAUCAAUGAAGUGGGCCCCUUCUCACCAAAGACAGCUUAGAGAGGUCAGCAAUGAAGAGGAGAAGGAAAAUCAAGAUGAGACACAAGGUCAGCAGCUGCAACUUCAGUUACAGAUGUAGAUGUUCUGAAAAUCCUAAACCCCAGUGUGGCAGAGACAAAAGCAAAGGAUCCACCAGCUAAGAAUGCCUUGGAUCCUGAGGCUGGGCAGGGUGGGGGUGAUUUACUUAUUGCUUUAUUUAUUUUUUGCAUGUUAACCAGAUAACUAGAACUAAUUGCAUUAUCAGUGCAGCAUCUGGUUUUUAAAAAGCCAAACUGCAAACUGCUAAUAAAGGCCUUAAAUAAUAAUAAUAAAUAUACUAAGAAAAUGUAAAAACAAGCCACAGACUGGGAGAAAAUACCUGUUUAUAUAUAUAUAUAUAUUUUACAUAUACUUAUAUAUCCUUUUAAGUAUUUGUAUCCAGAAUAUAUAAAGAACUCCAAAUCAAUAAUAAAAAGACAACCCAAUAAAAAAUAGGCAAAAGAUUUAAACUGACAUUUACAAAAGGAGACAGUGUUUUGCCAUGUUGCCCAGACUGGUCUUGAACUCCUGGACCCAAGCAGUCCUCCCACCUUGGCCUCCCAAAGUGCUGAGAUUACAGGUGAGGUAGUUUCUUACAAAGUUAAACCUAUGAUACAUCAAGCCCAUUUUUAGGUAUUUACCCAAAAGAAAUGAAAACAUUUGUUCACAAAAAGAUUUGUACAAGAUGUUCAUAGCAGCUGUAUUUGUAAUAAUAAAAAAAAAAAAACAUAAUCAAGGCUGGGUACAGUGGCUCAUGCCUGUAAUCCCAGUACUUUGGAAGGCUGAGGCGGGCAGAUCACAAGGUCAGUAGAACAAGACCAUCCUAGCUAACACGGUGAAACCCCGUCUCUACUAAAAAUACAAAAAAUUAGCCAGGUGUGGUGACAGGCGCCUGUAGU